CGUCGAGUGGCGACGGGUGAGUAAUACUUAGGAAUCUGCCCAGUAGUGGGGGACAACUCGGGGAAACUCGAGCUAAUACCGCAUACGCCCUAAGGGGGAAAGCGGGGGAUCUUCGGACCUCGCGCUAUUGGAUGAGCCUAAGUCGGAUUAGCUUGUAGGUAGGGUAACGGCCUACCUAGGCAACGAUCCGUAGCUGGUCUGAGAGGACGAUCAGCCACACUGGGACUGAGACACGGCCCAG
This 241-nucleotide ribosomal RNA is filed under the name uncultured bacterium. RNAcentral describes it as "partial 16S ribosomal RNA". It matches the Rfam family "Bacterial small subunit ribosomal RNA", at positions 102 to 334 of the family's 1533-position model. The record is from RNAcentral.